RNAcentral lists this ribosomal RNA (624 nucleotides) under Papiliotrema laurentii. Its description in RNAcentral is "eukaryotic LSU rRNA". It matches the Rfam family "Eukaryotic large subunit ribosomal RNA", at positions 49 to 662 of the family's 3401-position model. The record is from RNAcentral. Lineage: Eukaryota; Fungi; Basidiomycota; Tremellomycetes; Tremellales; Rhynchogastremaceae.
AGCGGAGGAAAAGAAACUAACAAGGAUUCCCCUAGUAACGGCGAGUGAACCGGGAAAAGCUCAAAUUUGAAAUCUGGCGUCCUCAGGGCGUCCGAGUUGUAAUCUAUAGAGGCGUUUUCCGUGCCGGACCGUGUCCAAGUCCCUUGGAACAGGGUAUCAAAGAGGGUGACAAUCCCGUACUUGACACGACUACCGGUGCUCUGUGAUACGUCUUCUACGAGUCGAGUUGUUUGGGAAUGCAGCUCAAAAUGGGUGGUGAGUUCCAUCUAAAGCUAAAUAUUGGCGAGAGACCGAUAGCGAACAAGUACCGUGAGGGAAAGAUGAAAAGCACUUUGGAAAGAGAGUUAAACAGUACGUGAAAUUGUUGAAAGGGAAACGAUUGAAGUCAGUCGUGACCGAGAGGCUCAGCCGGCUCUGCCGGUGUAUUCCCCUCGGUCGGGUCAACAUCAGUUUUGUCCGGUGGAUAAGGGCGGUAGGAAGGUGGCACCCACGGGUGUGUUAUAGCCUGCCGUCGCAUACACUGGGUGAGACUGAGGAAUGCAGCUCGCCUUUAUGGCCGGGGUUCGCCCACGUCCGAGCUUAGGAUGUUGACAUAAUGGCUUUAAACGACCCCAGUUGAACCAC